UAUUCUUUUGAUCCAUUUGAUCCAACAAUCAUUCAUUUGAUUCGUUGUUCUUGGAUCGACAUUGGACUUUUAUCAUUAAUCGUCCUGAAUUCAUACACGGAUUGUUCGUGAUAAAGGGAGUGCUUGCACUUGUUAUAUCCAUCGAUCAAUCCAUCCACCUUUUAU
RNAcentral lists this unclassified non-coding RNA (165 nucleotides) under uncultured Rozellomycota. Its description in RNAcentral is "uncultured Cryptomycota sequence contains ITS2". Lineage: Eukaryota; Fungi; Rozellomycota. The record is from RNAcentral.